AGGAGGGCGUUCUGCAAUACAGUGGCGGAUGCCAUAAUCAUCGGCCUCGAAAUUAACGGUACAAUUAGUUUUUACUUAUUCAGAUGCGUUGGUUUUCGUAUUUGAGCAUAUGUUAUAAGAAUUCUGAAUAUGUGAAUAUAGAAUUGUUUGCUGGAUAAUGAAAAUUUUGUAUAAAUUGAUACAGACAAUGAGAGGGUGUGCCAGAUGAAGAAAGGGAUGCCUGUUGGAAAGAGCUCAUCAGUUAGAACUAUUGAUACUUCGGAAGUAUCCAGAAUGACGCCGCAAAAUCCCCAUAUUUCUCCUUUGGAUGUAAAUGUAAAGAGGAUAUUGUGAGGGAUUAGCAAUUGGCAAUACAGGCGCCCAAAUAGUCUUCCAUAAAGAUGUUGG
This 387-nucleotide long non-coding RNA is filed under the name Prunus dulcis (almond). RNAcentral's name for it is "sRNA ncRNA". The record is from RNAcentral. Lineage: Eukaryota; Viridiplantae; Streptophyta; Magnoliopsida; Rosales; Rosaceae.